RNAcentral lists this ribosomal RNA (492 nucleotides) under uncultured bacterium. Its description in RNAcentral is "partial 16S ribosomal RNA". It matches the Rfam family "Bacterial small subunit ribosomal RNA", at positions 29 to 507 of the family's 1533-position model. The record is from RNAcentral.
AGUGAACGCUGGCGGUAGGCCUAACACAUGCAAGUCGAACGGCAGCACAGUAAGAGCUUGCUCUUACGGGUGGCGAGUGGCGGACGGGUGAGGAAUACAUCGGAAUCUACUUUUUCGUGGGGGAUAACGUAGGGAAACUUACGCUAAUACCGCAUACGACCUACGGGUGAAAGCAGGGGAUCUUCGGACCUUGCGCGAUUGAAUGAGCCGAUGUCGGAUUAGCUAGUUGGCGGGGUAAAGGCCCACCAAGGCGACGAUCCGUAGCUGGUCUGAGAGGAUGAUCAGCCACACUGGAAUUGAGACACGGUCCAGACUCCUACGGGAGGCAGCAGUGGGGAAUAUUAGACAAUGGGCGCAAGCCUGAUCCAGCCAUACCGCGUGGGUGAAGAAGGCCUUCGGGUUGUAAAGCCCUUUUGUUGGGAAAGAAAAGCAGCAGGUUAAUACCCCGCUGUUCUGACGGUACCCAAAGAAUAAGCACCGGCUAACUUCGUG